AACGGCUUUUGAGGUGAGGGCGGAACAUCGGGUGCCCGCCGCAUCGCGAGCGUUCUACAAUCACAGCCGGUAAACGUUGGAACGAAGUUUGUGUUCUUCCUGGACUUGACGAACUUACCCAGGGGCAGAACAGCGGGUUUAGUGGAAGUGCCAAAGUCACAACUUGUCAAACGGGGACCACAGCCUACUCGUUGGGGUACUGGGGAAGAAACACGCCUAUUUGUAGACAGUACGCAGCAGCUCAGGCGGUACAAAAGGACAGAACAACACGGAGGAGAAAGCACGUUCACUUUCAGUCUGUGUUGUUCUGAACCGUACCUUCCACAUUUCCACAGGGGCGACCCGCGUUUACCUUGCCUCUCCCGGAGGUUCGUUACAGCCUGUGUAUAAACCCUGGUGUGUGUCAACGCUUUUCUGUAUUCCGUGGAUUUCGUUGUUGCGUCGAAGCUCGUCGAGGAGAGACUGCCGAUUGGUGUGUCAACGGCAAGCGCACGUAAGCUGCUCCCCGCUCACGGUUUCUUCUCCCCUUCACAAGUGAGAAUCGAUUGCCUGUUCGAUCGACGCCAUGUCGCUUUUUCGUGUGUAACUUGUGCGUCGCGUUGCCAGCUCAAAACCAUGAUGCGAGUGUGUUUGGUUAGUCUUAGAAACGAUGUAAUUUCCAUGUAGACUACGAGACCAGGUGCGCUCGCUUUACAGCAGCCACCAUCGUUCUCUUUGGGACAGAGCGCAGUGUCAGAGUUUCCCCGAGCGCGGGUGGAGGCAGGGUGGAAGGCAAACGAUUUUAGAUCGAUUGGUAUACAGCAUCAUAGACCGUAUCCACGGCACAGUGCAGAUGCCAUGCAGCUUGAUCGUAUGUGUUGUAGUGUGCCAAUCUCCGACCGUUUUGAGUCUCCUAGCACUGGCGCAGAAAGGCGCACGGGGCACGCAUCACUUCCCUGCAGUGCGGAAGACCGAGACCAAGUCAACCUGAUGCAAGAUGUCGCCGGUGUUGACGGGUGCUGCGUUCCGUCGCCAACUCGUGGGUGAAAGGGUUACAGAUCCGAAGAAGUUGCCUCCGUAGAAUCGAAGGAGUUCUUGGCUGUAAGACAGCUCCUCCA
Molecule: long non-coding RNA, 1097 nt
Filed under: Toxoplasma gondii VEG
Lineage: Eukaryota; Apicomplexa; Conoidasida; Eucoccidiorida; Sarcocystidae
Source: RNAcentral